UACGUAGGCAGCAAGCGUUGUUCGGAGUUACUGGGCGUAAAGGGUGUGUAGGCGGUUGUUUAAGUUUGGUGUGAAAGCCCCCGGCUCAACUGGGGAGGGUCACCGGUAACGGCCGAGCUACGAGUGCAGGAGAGGGAAGUGGAACUCCGGGAGUAGCGGUGAAAUGCGUAGAGACCCGGAGGAACACCAGUGGCGAAGGCGGCUUCCUGGUCUGCAACUGACGCUGUGGCGCGAAAGCUAGGGGAGCAAACGGG
This 254-nucleotide ribosomal RNA is filed under the name uncultured bacterium. Its description in RNAcentral is "partial 16S ribosomal RNA". It matches the Rfam family "Bacterial small subunit ribosomal RNA", at positions 524 to 776 of the family's 1533-position model. The record is from RNAcentral.